CAGCAGCCGCGGUAAUACAGAGGGGGCAAGCGUUGUUCGGAAUUACUGGGCGUAAAGGGCGCGUAGGCGGCCUUCUAAGUCGAACGUGAAAUCCCCGGGCUCAACCCGGGAACUGCGUCCGAUACUGGAAGGCUUGAAUCCGGGAGAGGGAUGCGGAAUUCCAGGUGUAGCGGUGAAAUGCGUAGAUAUCUGGAGGAACACCGGUGGCGAAGGCGGCAUCCUGGACCGGCAUUGACGCUGAGGCGCGAAAGCCAGGGGAGCAAACGGGAUUAGAUACCCCGGUAGUCCUAGCCGUAAACGAUGGACACUAGGUGUUGGUGGUAUCAACCCCGCCAGUGCCGAAGCUAACGCAUUAAGUGUCCCGCCUGGGGAGUACGGCCGCAAGGCUAAAACUCAAAGGAAUUGACGG
RNAcentral lists this ribosomal RNA (409 nucleotides) under uncultured bacterium. Its description in RNAcentral is "bacterial SSU rRNA". It matches the Rfam family "Bacterial small subunit ribosomal RNA", at positions 509 to 916 of the family's 1533-position model. The record is from RNAcentral.